UGGGGAAUAUUGCACAAUGGGCGAAAGCCUGAUGCAGCCAUGCCGCGUGUGUGAAGAAGGCCUUCGGGUUGUAAAGCACUUUCAGUAGGGAGGAAGGUUUAGUAGUUAAUACCUGCUAGAUUUGACGUUACCUACAGAAGAAGCACCGGCUAACUCCGUGCCAGCAGCCGCGGUAAUACGGAGGGUGCGAGCGUUAAUCGGAAUUACUGGGCGUAAAGCGUACGCAGGCGGCCAUUUAAGUCAGAUGUGAAAGCCCCGGGCUCAACCUGGGAACUGCAUUUGAAACUGGAUGGCUAGAGUGCGGCAGAGGGUGGUAGAAUUUCAGGUGUAGCGGUGAAAUGCGUAGAGAUCUGAAGGAAUACCGAUGGCGAAGGCAGCCACCUGGGCCGACACUGACGCUCAUGUACGAAAGCGUGGGUAGCAAACAGG
This 429-nucleotide ribosomal RNA is filed under the name uncultured bacterium. RNAcentral describes it as "bacterial SSU rRNA". It matches the Rfam family "Bacterial small subunit ribosomal RNA", at positions 355 to 776 of the family's 1533-position model. The record is from RNAcentral.